UUCAUAAGAUUUUUUUACAACUCACAACUUUAUAUUUAAGUCAUACAAGUAAUAAAACAAUUAAUAUUUAAUAUUAACUAAAAUAGCGGAGGUACCAUGGCCUCCACCGGCACCCACCUGCGGGUGUUCUUGCACAACAAUAACAUACAAUACAGUUUUGAAUCAGAGCUUCCUGACCGCAACUAUCAGAAAUUUAAAACUCCAUAAAAGGCUGAAACUCCAUGGUUCGUACUCCGGGCUCAUACUAAUCCAUUGUCCAUUAGGUACUAUAUGCAUCAGUCAUACCCAUAGAUAAUGUAUUAUCUAUGCUCAUACCACAGUCACUGUAAUGUUAAUCACUGUGAUUAUCUCCGAUGCCUUAUCGUAAU
Non-coding RNA from Cinara cedri, 368 nucleotides. The record is from the annotation of a GenBank genome assembly. NCBI's taxonomy places the organism in Eukaryota, Metazoa, Arthropoda, Insecta, Hemiptera, Aphididae.